AUUCCAGCUCCAAUAGCGUAUACUAAUGUUGUUGCAGUUAAAAAGCUCGUAGUUGGAUUUCUGGUUGUUUAGCUUAUGGUCCGUCUCUUUUAUGGGUCGUGUAUCGUUUUUGCUGACACCAUCUUAGUAGUGAGCCCUAUUGGCAUUAGGUUGUCGAUUGGAGGAGCUGCUUCGUUUACUGUGAUAACAAAUAGAGUGUUCAAAGCAGACAUUACGUCUUGAAUGCUUCAGCAUGGAAUAAAAAGAUAGGACUUAUGGCACUAUUUUAUUGGUAUGUAUGCCUAGUAAUGAUUAAUAGGGAUGGUUGGGGGUAUUCAUAUUUGAUUGUCAGAGGUGAAAUUCUUGGAUUUAUGAAAGACGAACUUAUGCGAAAGCAUUUAUCAAGGAUGUUUUCAUUG
This 398-nucleotide ribosomal RNA is filed under the name Stramenopiles sp. MAST-12B. RNAcentral describes it as "partial small subunit ribosomal RNA". It matches the Rfam family "Eukaryotic small subunit ribosomal RNA", at positions 582 to 975 of the family's 1831-position model. The record is from RNAcentral.